This 503-nucleotide ribosomal RNA is filed under the name uncultured bacterium. RNAcentral describes it as "partial 16S ribosomal RNA". It matches the Rfam family "Bacterial small subunit ribosomal RNA", at positions 30 to 523 of the family's 1533-position model. The record is from RNAcentral.
AUUGAACGCUGGCGGCAGGCUUAACACAUGCAAGUCGAGCGGGGUGAUGGUGCUUGCACUAUCACUUAGCGGCGGACGGGUGAGUAAUGCUUAGGAAUCUGCCUAUUAGUGGGGGACAACAUCUCGAAAGGGAUGCUAAUACCGCAUACGGCCUACGGGAGAAAGCAGGGGACCACUUGUGACCUUGCGCUAAGAGAUGAGCCUAAGUCGGAUUAGCUAGUUGGUGGGGUAAAGGCCUACCAAGGCGACGAUCUGUAGCAGGUCUGAGAGGAUGAUCCGCCACACUGGGACUGAGACACGGCCCAGACUCCUACGGGAGGCAGCAGUGGGGAAUAUUGGACAAUGGGGGGAACCCUGAUCCAGCCAUGCCGCGUGUGUGAAGAAGGCCUUAUGGUUGUAAAGCACUUUAAGCGAGGAGGAGGUUCUUUUGGUUAAUACCCAAGAUGAGUGGACGUUACUCGCAGAAUAAGCACCGGCUAACUCUGUGCCAGCCGCCGCCGUAA